Etheostoma cragini (Arkansas darter) is the source of this 210-nucleotide long non-coding RNA. RefSeq lists it as uncharacterized. The transcript has 2 exons. Lineage: Eukaryota; Metazoa; Chordata; Actinopteri; Perciformes; Percidae. The record is from RefSeq and is a predicted model, not a curated record.
GUUUAGGAAAAGAAGAACGGGACAGUUGGGUUUAGAAGAACGGGACAGUUGGGUUCAGGAAAAGAAGAACGGGACAGUUGGGUUCAGGUAAAGAAGAAUGGGAGAGUUGGGUUCAUGAAAAGAAGAACAUGACAGUUGGAUUCAGGAAAACAAGUAUGGGACAGUUGGGUUUAGGAAAAAAAAGAACGUGACAGUUGGAUUUAGGAAAAG